AAUAAAAGAUUGACCAAAGGGGAAAAACAAUUUAUUCCCAAAGAUUUAUGCUUCAUCUGUCGGUCGUGGGUAUUUGUUACCGAUAUGGGUACAACGUCUGACUCUCUCUGUAAUGGUUCAUUAAUCCACUCAAAAAAUUUUCUUAUUGUGCCAGAAACAGGUACGCCCCGUAAGCCUACUAAGAACUAAAGGCAGGCGGAGUCAUUUUCAUCAAAAGCCCACUUUUACCUGAAGGAAGUUUGGCAACACCAGUCUAGUGUGGUCUCCUGAAGGAAAAUGGAAGGGUUGGUGACUUACCAUGACAAGGCAAGCCACUGUGAUUGAGAAGAAAAACUUCUAACCAAGAAAUGGGUGAACUGAAUUGGAGUUUGAAAUCUGCUACUUCUGAACUCUGUAUCUGAAGUUACUUCUCGAGAUCUAAGAGCAUCCGUAUCAUCUGCAAAUGGAUCAUUAUGAUGGAAGGUGUUAAAGUACAAUUGAACAGUCUUCUGGAGAAAAAACAAAUAUUUGGAAGAUAAAGGAAGAAAAGAUAAAUGAGCGGAAAUGUGGGCAGGUCCUGUGGUUCAGUCAAGGAACUGAAACCAAAAAUAACUCGGAGACCCAGGAUAAGCCAAACUGAAUUUGGGGACUUGAAUCCUCAGUCCCACCAGGAGAGGGAUGAACAUAUUUGUACACUGAGGGGAACCGCCAACGGAGCAUCGGAGCAGAGCAGUGCUCAAGGAAUGUUUACAGCUAAGGAGGCUCCAUGGAGGAUUGCUUGAAGGACAUGAAGUCCAUCUGUCUCCCUAGAUAGUUUAGAUUAUAUCUCAAGGUCAAGAAAGAUCAGACAUACACCCCGAUUCUGUUUCUGUGGCUCUCCAGUCCCCACCACAAGGAGAGAGAGAGAGUUUCCUUGGGGACUCAGAAGUGACUUCUAUACUCUGGGAGGCUCUUGGAUAAACGUUAAAAAAACUUCUUUAAGAAAAGAAGUGAAGACAUCUUGCCCAAAGGAUGAGAAGGCAAAUCAGCCCUGCUCCCAGGUCCUGGCCACGGUUUGGCUGUGCUGUGAUGCAACCACGAAGCACGUCCCACGGAAACAGGCCUACCACCUGGUCUCGUGCUCUGCACACAGUGAGGGCUCAGUAAAUGCUGUUCACCUACACAUAAGACCCAUAGUCUUAGAUCAGCUCUAAAAGUAAUGUUUGUUUGUUUUUUGACAAAAAGACUGUCUCCAUGUUUGUGUGGGUAGAUACAGCCGUAGAGACAGAUGAGGCAUCACAAGUGGUUCCUGGGAAUUUAUCAAACCAUAUUUAUUCACGGUAGCAUCCCUAAAUUUCCCCAUCGUCAAUAUAAAUACCUCUGACAAAUCUAUCUUCACUUACCGCUGCCCUUAAAUAUUUGAGGCAAAAUGCCGGCAGGCUGUUUCCCUCCUUUCUGGCCCAUCUCCUUAUCUCUGAGAUGCGACAGCCACCGCUACCCCUAAAACACGACAUAUUUCUAUCCUUUCUCCCUUCCUUCCCCCUUCCUUUGAUCCCUCCUUUUCUUUCUUCGGUGUCUGCGCUGUGCCAGGCAUGUUGAACUCCAGCAGGCUCCAUCCCAACCACGCUAAAAACAAUGAACUCUUAAUAUAGGUACUGUUAGAAACAGCAAAAAGAACCGUGUAGAACGGAAAGACAUGAGAGCCGAUAAUAUUUUUUAUUGGAGAACAUUUCUCAGGAGAAUAUAUGAGUGCUGCUGCCACUCAUAUCACUCACUUGUACCCUCCCUUAUGCCCAGCAGUUGACAAGUCCUCUUACAUGUGUAUCUCAUACGUUCCUCUAAAUUGUUGUUUCUCAAAGUGUGGUGCCUGACCAACAGCAGCAGCAGCUCCUGGAGAUUUCUGGAAAUGCAGAAGCCCAGGCUCCACCCCAAAACCUCCUGAAACAGACUACAUUUUAAUAACAUCCUCUAGAGCGUGAUGGUUUGAGGACCUGUACUCUCAAUAGUCCUGUGAGGGAAUUGGAAUUUCUCUUGCCUAUUUGACAGAGAAGGAAGAAGCAAAACUGGUGUGUGUUGGGGGGAGGGGCGGUGGCACUUCGGUGGCUCAGUUUGUUGAGCAUCCGACUCUUGA
Felis catus (domestic cat) is the source of this 2089-nucleotide long non-coding RNA. RefSeq lists it as uncharacterized. Lineage: Eukaryota; Metazoa; Chordata; Mammalia; Carnivora; Felidae. The record is from RefSeq and is a predicted model, not a curated record. The transcript has 7 exons.